Molecule: ribosomal RNA, 503 nt
Filed under: uncultured bacterium
Lineage: Bacteria
Description: bacterial SSU rRNA
Rfam family: Bacterial small subunit ribosomal RNA
Source: RNAcentral
CUCAGGAUGAACGCUAGCGACAGGCUUAACACAUGCAAGUCGAGGGGCAGCAUAAAAGUAGCAAUACUUGGUGGCGACCGGCGCACGGGUGAGUAACGCGUAUGCAACCUACCUAUCAGAGGGGAAUAACCCGGCGAAAGUCGGACUAAUACCGCAUAAAACAGGGACACCGCAUGGUGAUAUUUGUUAAAGAAAUUCGCUGAUAGAUGGGCAUGCGUUCCAUUAGGUAGUUGGUGAGGUAACGGCUCACCAAGCCGACGAUGGAUAGGGGAACUGAGAGGUUGGUCCCCCACACUGGUACUGAGACACGGACCAGACUCCUACGGGAGGCAGCAGUGAGGAAUAUUGGUCAAUGGGCGAGAGCCUGAACCAGCCAAGUCGCGUGAAAGGAAGAAGGAUCUAUGGUUCGUAAACUUCUUUUGCAGGGGAAUAAAGUGCAGGACGUGUCCUGUUUUGUAUGUACCCUGAGAAUAAGGAUCGGCUAACUCCGUGCCAGCCGCAGC